UACGUAGGGCGCAAGCGUUGUCCGGAAUUAUUGGGCGUAAAGAGCUCGUAGGCGGUUUGUCGCGUCUGCUGUGAAAUCCCGAGGCUCAACCUCGGGCUUGCAGUGGGUACGGGCAGACUAGAGUGCGGUAGGGGAGACUGGAAUUCCUGGUGUAGCGGUGAAAUGCGCAGAUAUCAGGAGGAACACCGGUGGGCGAAGGCGGGUCUCUGGGCCGAUACUGACGCUGGAG
Molecule: ribosomal RNA, 229 nt
Filed under: uncultured bacterium
Lineage: Bacteria
Description: partial 16S ribosomal RNA
Rfam family: Bacterial small subunit ribosomal RNA
Source: RNAcentral